GCUGGGAGCAGUGGCACAUUCCUGUAAUUCCAGCAACUUGGAAGGCUGAGGCAGGAGGAUCUCAAGUUUGAGGCCAGCCUGGGUUACUUAGGAGACCCUGUCUCAA
RNAcentral lists this small RNA (106 nucleotides) under Marmota monax (woodchuck). Lineage: Eukaryota; Metazoa; Chordata; Mammalia; Rodentia; Sciuridae. The record is from RNAcentral.